UAAUAGGAACUUGAAGGAGCCAG
RNAcentral lists this non-coding RNA (23 nucleotides) under Rattus norvegicus (Norway rat). The record is from RNAcentral. Lineage: Eukaryota; Metazoa; Chordata; Mammalia; Rodentia; Muridae.